Molecule: transfer RNA, 69 nt
Filed under: Rattus norvegicus (Norway rat)
Lineage: Eukaryota; Metazoa; Chordata; Mammalia; Rodentia; Muridae
Rfam family: tRNA
About the family: Transfer RNA (tRNA) molecules are approximately 80 nucleotides in length. Their secondary structure includes four short double-helical elements and three loops (D, anti-codon, and T loops).
Source: Rfam by way of RNAcentral
GGGGAUUUAGCUCAGUGGUAGAGCACUUGCCUAGCAAGCACAAGACCCUGGGUUCGGUCCCUAGCUCCG